Molecule: non-coding RNA, 480 nt
Organism: Pelobates cultripes (western spadefoot toad)
Lineage: Eukaryota; Metazoa; Chordata; Amphibia; Anura; Pelobatidae
Source: the annotation of a GenBank genome assembly
AUUUGAUGAGUGGGGAGGUUGUCUUUGAAGGUGUAUCAAACAGCCCUUUUCCUAGAACAUGUUCAAAUAGAAUGAUCAAAAAACAAGACCACCUAGCCUUCUGAACAAACCAUAGGACAGCCUGUCAACUGUUGGUUAGUUUCCAUCUACCUGUCUGAGUGUGAACAUCAAACCACAGGUUUUUAUUUUACUUAAAGACCAAUUUAUAAGUGACAUUAUGGUGAGUUUAGUACUUCUCUGAGUAGAGUAGAACUCUUUUUUAACUACCCUAACUUGUUAAGCAUGUGGAAGUUAUUCCGUGAUUAAAAGUAAGUUUGCAUAUUUCAAAACUUAAAAGCAAUACCAAAGGACCAUGUGUAAAAUUAAAUUUCAUAGUCGAUGCUAGAUCUUGAGGGUGUGUGGAAUUUUUAGGUAGGACACUGAGAAGAUUAGAUAAUCUAUUUGACCAUUUUCUGUCAGCUUAAUAUGCAUUUCAAAUAG